UAAGGAGGGUGCAAGCGUUGUUCGGAUUUACUGGGCGUAAAGGGCGCGUAGGCGGCGUGGUAAGUCGGGUGUGAAAUCCUUCCGCUUAACGGAAGAAGUGCACCCGAAACUGCCUUGCUCGAGUUUAGGAGAGGAGAGCGGAAUUCCCGGUGUAGAGGUGAAAUUCGUAGAUAUGGGGAGGAACACCCGUGGCGAAAGCGGCGCUCUGGCCUAAUACUGACGCUGAGGCGAGAAAGCGUGGGGAGCAAACAGG
RNAcentral lists this ribosomal RNA (253 nucleotides) under uncultured bacterium. RNAcentral describes it as "partial 16S ribosomal RNA". It matches the Rfam family "Bacterial small subunit ribosomal RNA", at positions 524 to 776 of the family's 1533-position model. The record is from RNAcentral.